Molecule: ribosomal RNA, 1195 nt
Filed under: Downesia tarsata
Lineage: Eukaryota; Metazoa; Arthropoda; Insecta; Coleoptera; Chrysomelidae
Description: 16S ribosomal RNA
Rfam family: Archaeal large subunit ribosomal RNA (bases 773-1132)
Source: RNAcentral
AGUAAAAAAUUGUAUUUAUUAUAGAUUAUUAUUAUUGUGAAAGAUUUCUUUUAAAUAUUUUAAAGAAGAUUUAAAUUUUUGUACCUUGUGUCUCAGGGUUUAUUUAAUUAAAUUUGUAUAAUUUUUUCUCGAAUUUAUAAGAGUUAAUUAUGUGUUUAUUUUACUGUUAAAUAAUUAUUUAUAACAUAUAGUUGGAAAUGAAACGUUAAUCGUUUAUAAAUAUAUCUAGUUGUCUAAGAAAUAAAUUUAAUUUAGAAUUAUUUAUAAUUAAUAAUUUUUUAUAAUUAAUAAUUAUUUUAGUUUAAUUGCUUCAGGGAUAAGCUGGAAGUAUUAUUUUUAUUAUUUAAUUUUUUAUUUAGAUUUUAAGGAUUAGAAUUUUUCAUAAUUAAAUUUGUGUAAUAAUAAAUCUAAUUAUUUUAAUUUUUAUUUUAAUAUAAAUAUUUUAUUGGGCUGAAUAAUUGAAUUUUAAAUUUUUUGUAAUAAUGAUAAAAUUAGUAAAAUUUAAUUUAAAUUUAAAAAAUGGUUUAAUAUAAGGAUAAUUAAUUCGGCAAAUAAUUUUUCACCUGUUUAAUAAAAACAUGGCCUAUUGAUAAUAAUUUUAGGUCGUACCUGCCCACUGAAAAUUAAAUGGCCGCAGUAUUUUAACUGUGCUAAGGUAGCAUAAUCAUUAGUUUCUUAAUUAGAAGCUGGAAUGAAAGGUUUGAUGAAAAAAUAACUGUCUCUUUUUUAAUUAGUUUGAAUUUUAUUAUUAAGUAAGAAAGCUUAAAUUGUUUUAAGGGACGAGAAGACCCUAUAGAGUUUUAUAUUAAAUAUUUAAAAUAUAUUUGGUAUUUAUUUCUUAAAGAAUUUAAUAUUUAGUUGGGGUGACAGAAAAAUUUAAUUAACUUUUUUGCUUUAAAACCAUUAAUUUAUGAAUUUUUGAUCCAUUAUUAUGAUUAACAGAAUAAAUUACCUUAGGGAUAACAGCGUAAUAUUUCUUUGGAGUUCAUAUUUAAAAAAGUGAUUACGACCUCGAUGUUGGAUUAAGAUAAAUUAUCGGUGCAGUAGCUGAUUAAUUAGGUCUGUUCGACCUUUAAAAUCUUACAUGAUCUGAGUUUAAACCGGUUUAAGCCAGGUUGGUUUCUAUCUUUAAAUAUAUAUAAUUUUUUAGUACGAAAGGAUUAAAAAUUAAUUAAAUUAAUUAUUUUUGAAUAAC